RNAcentral lists this ribosomal RNA (429 nucleotides) under uncultured bacterium. RNAcentral's name for it is "bacterial SSU rRNA". It matches the Rfam family "Bacterial small subunit ribosomal RNA", at positions 355 to 776 of the family's 1533-position model. The record is from RNAcentral.
UAGGGAAUCUUCCACAAUGGACGAAAGUCUGAUGGAGCAACGCCGCGUGAGUGAUGAAGGUUUUCGGAUCGUAAAACUCUGUUGUAAGGGAAGAACAAGUGCGUUAGGUAAUGAACGCACCUUGACGGUACCUUAUUAGAAAGCCACGGCUAACUACGUGCCAGCAGCCGCGGUAAUACGUAGGUGGCAAGCGUUGUCCGGAUUUAUUGGGCGUAAAGCGCGCGCAGGUGGUUUCUUAAGUCUGAUGUGAAAGCCCACGGCUCAACCGUGGAGGGUCAUUGGAAACUGGGAAACUUGAGUGCAGAAGAGGAUAGUGGAAUUCCAAGUGUAGCGGUGAAAUGCGUAGAGAUUUGGAGGAACACCAGUGGCGAAGGCGACUGUCUGGUCUGUAACUGACACUGAGGCGCGAAAGCGUGGGGAGCAAACAGG